GUGUCCUAAGAUGAGCUCAACGA
This 23-nucleotide small nuclear RNA is filed under the name Arabidopsis thaliana (thale cress). RNAcentral's name for it is "snRNA_00845". Lineage: Eukaryota; Viridiplantae; Streptophyta; Magnoliopsida; Brassicales; Brassicaceae. The record is from RNAcentral.